This 446-nucleotide long non-coding RNA is filed under the name Manihot esculenta (cassava). RNAcentral's name for it is "long non-coding RNA (MESC_LNC011781)". Lineage: Eukaryota; Viridiplantae; Streptophyta; Magnoliopsida; Malpighiales; Euphorbiaceae. The record is from RNAcentral.
GGCCAUGCAUUUCUCAGUCUCACUGAUCGAGGGGCCCAGAAGAUAUCUCUCUCAUAGAGAGGGACAAAUCCUAUCUUGAUUGUUCAUUUUCCUCUACAUAAUUUCUAUUAUGCUCAAUCAUAACCUUUAUGAUUGUCCGAUUAAAGACAACGUUUGGUUAUGUCAAAACAUAAUAGUCCUUAUGUUGGAAACUAUGACAAUCUCAAGUCAAAGGAUUAAGACAUAACUACUUUGAGAUUCACUUAUGACAAUGACCCAUGUAGUGAUCUCAAUGCGGGUCCAUCCAAUACUUUGUUCUCUAACAAGUAUCUAUGAUUAUUGAUUAUAUCAACAUAUACAUAAUCAUCUCAUGAUUAUCAAUCAAUAACCAUACCAGUUAUAUUUUAUUAUUAUCAACAUAAUAAUAAGUAACCAGGGAUGAUAAUCAUUAUUAUGUAACAUGCAAA